AGAAUGAACAAGUUUUUUUUUAAACUUAUUUUUUAGUGGUAUUGAAUUAAGAUUUUAGCUACUUACCAGCCAUUUUUCUUUAUUAUAUUUUCCAGGCUUAUUUCCGAGUCCAUGUCUAGGGAACCCUGGUUUGUAUGGGGCAAGGGCAU
Molecule: long non-coding RNA, 149 nt
Organism: Hibiscus syriacus
Lineage: Eukaryota; Viridiplantae; Streptophyta; Magnoliopsida; Malvales; Malvaceae
Exons: 3
Source: RefSeq, a predicted model, not a curated record